RNAcentral lists this ribosomal RNA (272 nucleotides) under uncultured bacterium. RNAcentral describes it as "partial 16S ribosomal RNA". It matches the Rfam family "Bacterial small subunit ribosomal RNA", at positions 333 to 619 of the family's 1533-position model. The record is from RNAcentral.
GGGCGCCUACGGGAGGCAGCAGUGAGGAAUAUUGGUCAAUGGGCGCAAGCCUGACCCAGCAACGCCGCGUGAAGGAAGAAGGCUUUCGGGUUGUAAACUUCUUUUCUCAGGGACGAAGCAAGUGACGGUACCUGAGGAAUAAGCCACGGCUAACUACGUGCCAGCAGCCGCGGUAAUACGUAGGUGGCAAGCGUUAUCCGGAUUUACUGGGUGUAAAGGGCGUGUAGGCGGGACUGCAAGUCAGAUGUGAAAACCACGGGCUCAACCUGUGG